Molecule: ribosomal RNA, 692 nt
Filed under: uncultured bacterium
Lineage: Bacteria
Description: bacterial SSU rRNA
Rfam family: Bacterial small subunit ribosomal RNA
Source: RNAcentral
CGGUAGCACAGGAGAGCUUGCUCUCUGGGUGACGAGCGGCGGACGGGUGAGUAAUGUCUGGGAAACUGCCUGAUGGAGGGGGAUAACUACUGGAAACGGUAGCUAAUACCGCAUAACGUCUUCGGACCAAAGUGGGGGACCUUCGGGCCUCACGCCAUCAGAUGUGCCCAGAUGGGAUUAGCUAGUAGGUGGGGUAAUGGCUCACCUAGGCGACGAUCCCUAGCUGGUCUGAGAGGAUGACCAGCCACACUGGAACUGAGACACGGUCCAGACUCCUACGGGAGGCAGCAGUGGGGAAUAUUGCACAAUGGGCGCAAGCCUGAUGCAGCCAUGCCGCGUGUGUGAAGAAGGCCUUCGGGUUGUAAAGCACUUUCAGCGAGGAGGAAGGGUGGUGUGUUAAUAGCGCAUCACAUUGACGUUACUCGCAGAAGAAGCACCGGCUAACUCCGUGCCAGCAGCCGCGGUAAUACGGAGGGUGCAAGCGUUAAUCGGAAUUACUGGGCGUAAAGCGCACGCAGGCGGUUUGUUAAGUCAGAUGUGAAAUCCCCGCGCUUAACGUGGGAACUGCAUUUGAAACUGGCAAGCUAGAGUCUUGUAGAGGGGGGUAGAAUUCCAGGUGUAGCGGUGAAAUGCGUAGAGAUCUGGAGGAAUACCGGUGGCGAAGGCGGCCCCCUGGACAAAGACUGACGCUC